AGAAUCUUAAGAUACACAAAAGAAAAAAGAAAAAACAGAACCCUCAAAGUUAUAUUUUUUUGUUCUAUUUAGACCUUCAGGAUGUUCUUAUUUCCUAUUUCAGAUUCGGAAAUUCAUACCUGCGGUGAAGAGAGUUUUAAAAAUUAAGGACGCAAAUAUGCCGGCACUCGAAUACUUGGAAGCCUAAUGAAUUAGGCAGUACCUGUGUCGUGAUCGAGUGAGACGCAACCAAUGGCUUCUGUGAUGCAAAAAAUCAAAGACAUUGAGGAUGAGGUAUAAUCUCCCGCCCUCUAUGCGUGUGUGCGUAGUAAUACCUAUUUAUUUAAACGUGCAUAUGUUAUUUUACUAUUUUUGUAAACUUCAAAACCAUUGCUGCUUUGCAGUUAGCAAGAUAUUGAGCCACAGAGUGUUAUUUUUGUUGCCUUUUUUUUUUGUCAAAUCUUAUUGGACACUAAUUAUGUUUUGGUUUUUUAUGAGGAACCGAUGAAACCGUGAAUUCACCUUUAUUGCUUUGUCAAUCACAAGGCAAAAAAAAAUUGCAAGACAUUGAAACCAACAAGUAC
Long non-coding RNA from Rhododendron vialii, 563 nucleotides. RefSeq lists it as uncharacterized. Lineage: Eukaryota; Viridiplantae; Streptophyta; Magnoliopsida; Ericales; Ericaceae. The transcript is spliced from 2 exons. The record is from RefSeq and is a predicted model, not a curated record.